AGACCCGAAACCCGGUGAUCUAGCCAUGGGCAGGUUGAAGGUUGGGUAACACUAACUGGAGGACCGAACCGACUAAUGUUGAAAAAUUAGCGGAUGACCUGUGGCUGGGGGUGAAAGGCCAAUCAAACCGGGAGAUAGCUGGUUCUCCCCGAAAGCUAUUUAGGUAGCGCCUCGUGAAUUCAUCUCCGGGGGUAGAGCACUGUUUCGGCUAGGGGGCCAUCCCGGCUUACCAACCCGAUGCAAACUGCGAAUACCGGAGAAUGUUAUCACGGGAGACACACGGCGGGUGCUAACGUCCGUCGUGAAGAGGGAAACAACCCAGACCGCCAGCUAAGGUCCCAAAGUCAUGGUUAAGUGGGAAACGAUGUGGGAAGGCCCAGACAGCCAGGAUGUUGGCUUAGAAGCAGCCAUCAUUUAAAGAAAGCGUAAUAGCUCACUGGUCGAGUCGGCCUGCGCGGAAGAUGUAACGGGGCUAAACCAUGCACCGAAGCUGCGGCAGCGACACUGUGUGUUGUUGGGUAGGGGAGCGUUCUGUAAGCCUGUGAAGGUGUGUCGUGAGGCAUGCUGGAGGUAUCAGAAGUGCGAAUGCUGACAUAAGUAACGAUAAAGCGGGUGAAAAGCCCGCUCGCCGGAAGACCAAGGGUUCCUGUCCAACGUUAAUCGGGGCAGGGUGAGUCGACCCCUAAGGCGAGGCCGAAAGGCGUAGUCGAUGGGAAACGGGUUAAUAUUCCCGUACUUGGUGUUACUGCGAAGGGGGGACGGAGAAGGCUAUGUUGGCCGGGCGACGGUUGUCCCGGUUUAAGCGUGUAGGCUGGUUUUCCAGGCAAAUCCGGAAAAUCAAGGCUGAGGCGUGACGACGAGGCACUACGGUGCUGAAGCAACAAAUGCCCUGCUUCCAGGAAAAGCCUCUAAGCAUCAGGUAACACGAAAUCGUACCCCAAACCGACACAGGUGGUCAGGUAGAGAAUACCAAGGCGCUUGAGAGAACUCGGGUGAAGGAACUAGGCAAAAUGGUGCCGUAACUUCGGGAGAAGGCACGCUGAUAUGUAGGUGAAGCGGUUUACCCGUGGAGCUGAAAUCAGUCGAAGAUACCAGCUGGCUGCAACUGUUUAUUAAAAACACAGCACUGUGCAAACACGAAAGUGGACGUAUACGGUGUGACGCCUGCCCGGUGCCGGAAGGUUAAUUGAUGGGGUCAGCGCAAGCGAAGCUCCUGAUCGAAGCCCCGGUAAACGGCGGCCGUAACUAUAACGGUCCUAAGGUAGCGAAAUUCCUUGUCGGGUAAGUUCCGACCUGCACGAAUGGCGUAAUGAUGGCCAGGCUGUCUCCACCCGAGACUCAGUGAAAUUGAACUCGCUGUGAAGAUGCAGUGUACCCGCGGCAAGACGGAAAGACCCCGUGAACCUUUACUAUAGCUUGACACUGAACAUUGAGCCUUGAUGUGUAG
Molecule: ribosomal RNA, 1447 nt
Filed under: Salmonella enterica subsp. enterica serovar Newport
Lineage: Bacteria; Pseudomonadati; Pseudomonadota; Gammaproteobacteria; Enterobacterales; Enterobacteriaceae
Description: partial 23S ribosomal RNA
Rfam family: Bacterial large subunit ribosomal RNA
Source: RNAcentral